GCAAAAGCUCACACUCAGUCCCAGGAUUAAGUUACUAAUCACUUGAUGUUGUCUUAAUUGAAAGGCAGAUUACCCAGACUAGUCCCUUCUGCCUUCUGGGCAGGUCACAUCUGAAAGAUUAUCCUCUUUGAAUCAGUUUGAAUGUUCUAGUGACCAGGCCACACAGUUUCUCUUGACAUUUAAAAAUAAAGCUUCCAGUCUUGUCACUAAUGGAUUUGGGGUCCAGUACCCUUAAAAUCACCUCAGAGCUGCCUGAAUCCAUAGACUACUUGCAGAAUCACUGGUUUUACUUGGAUCAAGCCAUCUGAGAAGUUUGGCUGAAAUAAAAACUCAAAGCCCCCACAAUAUUGAACCACCAUUCCAGACCCAGCCAAGGUUUGGAACAUAAAGUGAGCUGAAUGAAUCAGCCUGCAGGCAACCCAGAGAAAGUAAUUGUUCAUCCUAGCAGCACGGCUGCUUUUCUGCUUAGCAUCUGAACAAGUUAAUUUGGAAACACAGCCUUCUGGAAAGAAAUGGCGCUUCUCUCAGCAUCCCAUGGAUUCAUGAGCAGCUCCUUGAAUGCAAAUAUUGCCUGAUAUUUUCAUGUGGUCUCCAGACACAGGAGAAGAGCGACGGCGAAGAAAGGAAGGAAGGAAGAAAGAAA
This 643-nucleotide long non-coding RNA is filed under the name Homo sapiens (human). Its description in RNAcentral is "HSALNT0370154". Lineage: Eukaryota; Metazoa; Chordata; Mammalia; Primates; Hominidae. The record is from RNAcentral.